GAAGACAUAAUUUGAGAACAAGAAAGGAAGGCGGAAUUUGAAAAGAAAUGAAGUUGGACUUUGGAAAAUUAAGAAAGUCGGGAUCACGCAAAAUGGACCUAGUCUGAUGAAUUAUCUCCUAGAAUCACAAUCUUAGUCUGUUGAAUCUUUCUCCUAAGAUGAAAAUCUUAGUCUGAUGAAUUUUUCACCUAAGGUAAGGAUAAAAAUCUUAGUCUGUUGAAUCUUUCUCCUAAGAUGAAAAUCUUAGUCUGAUGAAUUUUUCACCUAAGAUAAAGACAAAAAUCUUAGUCUGUUGAAUCUUUCUCCUAAGAUAAAAAUCUUAGUCUGAUGAAUUUUUCACGUAAGAUAAAGAUAAAUCUUAGUCCGUCGAAUCUUUCACCUAAGAUGAGAAUCUUAGUC
This 399-nucleotide long non-coding RNA is filed under the name Nicotiana tabacum (common tobacco). RNAcentral describes it as "long non-coding RNA (NTAB_LNC007681)". Lineage: Eukaryota; Viridiplantae; Streptophyta; Magnoliopsida; Solanales; Solanaceae. The record is from RNAcentral.